Non-coding RNA from Gongylonema pulchrum, 71 nucleotides. The record is from Rfam. NCBI's taxonomy places the organism in Eukaryota, Metazoa, Nematoda, Chromadorea, Rhabditida, Gongylonematidae.
UGACCGGUGGUGUAGUGGUAACACGUUCAGUUCGGACGUGAAUUGGAGUGGUUCGAUUCCUUCCCAGUCCG